UUGAGGUGUGGCACCCAAAGUGUGAUUUACUUCAGUAUUUGAUCUCGAUCGCUCACAAGUGCAUGAAGUGGGAAAUGAUGCAUGAACCGAGCAGAGAUGACACACCAGAGCCAUGAGGGCUGCUUUCAGUAAUGACAGCAAAAACCAACACAAAUACGCGUCUCCUCAUACGCUGUUUUAACACGCUCCACUGACUGAGCUGACUCUUGCUGUUUGACUGAAGGUAGAGAAGAAAAAGGCUUUUGUUCCAGGGUGCUUCAGCCGUUUUUAAUACAAACCGACUGAAAGAAGUGGAAGACUACAAAACUUCUUUCAUUGUUUUGAGUCCAGAAACAAUGGAGGGUUAAAGUGAAACUACAGACUGAAGCUCAAGCUAGGAUCAACAGAAACUGUUAGAAAUAAAGAGGAGGAGGACUGUUCCAAGAAAUAUGCAAGAGCCAAGAACAAGAAGAAGCCAGAGGGCAAAGAAAUGUAGUUGCUGCCUUCAGCUGUAGGUACAGGUGACAUUUAUCCUUGUUAAAGAUUUUUUUCCGCAGCUAGUAUACAUGGUAGAAAAGCAUCUUGCAGCACGGGUCUUGCAAAAGGAAUUCAGAGCGUGCAGUUUAGGCGCUUUGAGUAAACUUUCUGACACAUUCCCGAGUGGAUUUAUGAUGAUGAAUGAAGCGCAGGAGGCAGACGUCGCUGCAUCAGCAAACAGGCCGGUCAAAGGAGUUUGGGUUGAGAAGUGGAUCAGGCCAAACAAGAAGUGUCUGAAAACACCAAUAAAAUAGUUCCCUGCUCAGGAGAGAGGUAUAAGGCAGAUUCUCAGGUUAUAUAAUUUUACUGACCUUUAACUACUCCUGGAAGCACAGAAUAAUUUCUCAAGUAAUAAGGAACAAUGGCUCUGAAGGAGACAGUUGUAAAAUGGAGUGAUCAUAAACUGUGUUCAUAAAAAUCAUAAAAGAGAGGGCGAUCACUUGAGCCCCACAAAGAAAGAGGCCAGGUUAUCUGCCUGUAUAGUGCUGUGCUGACCCUGCAGUCAGUCCAUCACUUUCAUUUCAAACCUCUUUUUUUUUUUUUCUUUCAAUCUGGAGGGUGCUAAAUGUGAGCCUGUAAAAGUGUUUCACUGUGCCUUUGUUACAAGCAUAUUACAGAGAAACGAGGCCCUUUAGUCUCCACCUCACUGCCCCUGCUUCAUUAAAAUUAUAAAUCUAGACACUGUUUCUGGGAUCCAAACUAAAACUGGCCUGUUGUCUGAAAGAAUUGUGUUUUUUUUUCCAUACAAAUCUGCAACAGUUUCCCAUUGCCUACAAACAGAUCCAAACAAUACUUGCCAAAGUGUUGCAUUGAAAUCCCAGUCUGCUCUCUUUUGCGUCAAUAAAUCCCCUCUUGUGCCGUCUUGUCUAUUCCUACGGGAAAUUAGGCUGAACAGCAACGAAAUGCUCCUCCUAAUUACUUUGUGGCUGAUAGGAAUGCAAAGAACUGAUUGAUAAGAGCCAUUCCUCCUUUAAUAUUACGAAUGAAUGAUGCAAAAACUGUUUCAAAGCCUUAUCUUGAUAAUGGGAUUAAAAAAGUUAUGUUUUAGACUGACCUGGAGAGGCGAAAAUACAUCAAUUUCAGGGUUUGUCACCUUUGGCUGCAUAGCAGGCUUCAAAAUGACAGCUGUCUGAUGGGAAGUUAUAGUGAAAAACAUGAUUUCUGAAAACAACCAAUAAUCACACCGGCAAUAUCACUCACUGAGCAGGACAAGAGGAGGUUAAAAAGAAGGGAAAAUGGAAGGAGCAGAAGAUCAGGGAAUUCUGGACAUUGCUGUUCUACUGAUAGCUUUGUGAUUGGGGUGUUGCUGCUGAUGAAAGUGUUUCUCAGCCACAGUGGGGUUACCCUCCUCUGUGAUGAUGGCAUUGUGAUUGUGUGGCAUUGCAGCAGAAGCAGACUGUGUGGCCUUGCCACCGGCUGUGACCGCUCAUCCCUGAAUCUCUGGGGAACAAGAAAGGUGUUUGCUAACCCUCACUCUGUUCCUUCCCAAACCCAUGCAAGCUGCUCCCCGAUAAAGAGUUCAGCUCCUGGAUGUGACGUCAGCUGAAAAUAUUAACCAAUAAAAUGUUCCUCAAAUAUUAUGCAACACUCCUUUCAAACAUGUUUUAAUUCUUCUUUUUUUUUUUUUUUUUUUUUGGUGGAGCGAAAGGGUUUUUGUGCCAUUGAACAUGGCUUGUCCAGGCAGGUUUCACCCAUCAACCCCUCAAUUAAGAACACCUGGAGGAGCAAGAGAGCGGCACUCUGCCACAAGAACGACCGCAAUCAACCCAUUACGCACUCAAACCAUUACGCACACCAACAAGCAAACGCACCUUCACUUGCAGACAGAAGCACCUAAGACUUUAAUAGAAGCCUGUAUGAUGAGGAUGCUAUUAAGAACGUCAAUUAUGACAAAAGCAGGAAAAGAAACCAUCACUUUUGGCUUUCUAUAAGCUGCAUAAUCGCCAAGCGCACCCAAAAAAAGCUGCAGACAGGUGUGGUUGUGCCAUGCUGGAUGUCACGAAAGAUGUGUCCUGUCUAGUCCCUGGAUUGGAGACUCUGUCUAGAACUAGCAGUGUGCCAGCAGUCAUCCUCUGUCCCCGACACCUUUACAACUUAUCUGGUCCUUUUUGCCCCCUCAGCUGUACUGUGUCUCACUCUUCCCAUCCCAGAUGGAUGGAGUGAACCCUCAGUGGAGAAAUUAACUUUGAGGUAAACCCUUUCAUGAAGAUGGCAGAGCAGAAACCGCUGUGGAAAACACCUGAUUCACAAUAAAUAAAAAAGCUGAAAUAUA
Molecule: non-coding RNA, 2788 nt
Organism: Oryzias latipes (Japanese medaka)
Lineage: Eukaryota; Metazoa; Chordata; Actinopteri; Beloniformes; Adrianichthyidae
Source: RefSeq, a predicted model, not a curated record